This 543-nucleotide ribosomal RNA is filed under the name uncultured Thelebolales. RNAcentral's name for it is "eukaryotic LSU rRNA". The stretch from base 180 to 333 matches the Rfam family "5.8S ribosomal RNA". The record is from RNAcentral. Lineage: Eukaryota; Fungi; Ascomycota; Leotiomycetes; Thelebolales.
GACUGCGGAGGAUCAUUAAGAGACGUUGCCCUUCGGGGUAUACCCCCCACCCAUUGUUUAUUAUACCUUUGUUGCUUUGGCAGACCCGGCUUCGGCCCACCGGCUCCGGCUGGUCAGUGUCUGCCAGAGGACCUAAAACUCUGUUUGUUAAUAUUGUCUGAGUACUAUAUAAUAGUUAAAACUUUCAACAACGGAUCUCUUGGUUCUGGCAUCGAUGAAGAACGCAGCGAAAUGCGAUAAGUAACGUGAAUUGCAGAAUUCAGUGAAUCAUCGAAUCUUUGAACGCACAUUGCGCCCUCUGGUAUUCCGGGGGGCAUGCCUGUUCGAGCGUCAUUACAACCCUCAAGCUUUGCUUGGUAUUGGACAUUGCCAGUUUCUGGCAGGUCUUAAAAUCAGUGGCGGUGCCAUUUGGCUUCAAGCGUAGUAAUUCUUCUCGCUUUGGAGAUCCAGGUGGUUACUUGCCAAUAACCCCCAAUUUUUUCAGGUUGACCUCGGAUCAGGUAGGGAUACCCGCUGAACUUAAGCAUAUCAAUAAGCGGAGGA